AGAGACGAGUCCCAUAAAUGAUAAAUUAGGUACAGAGAAGCAUUAAUUAUUUUUCCCUCUCUGUUUCUCUCUCUAGAAACCAAAAACUCUGUUUCUGUUACAACCGGAUAAACUCUUGAUAUUUUCUCUCCUUGCUCUGUUUGCUUCUUUGUGCUUUUGUUUCUUUCUUGGAUUCAGCACUGCUUUUCUCUUUCCCGGAAACUCGAUUGCUUUUAUCAUUUUCCGUUAGAAAGAAAAAAUCUCGAUUCUCACGCAACCAUUUCCACUAACCUUCAUAUCUUUUCCACUGGAUAUAUGGGUUUCUGUUGAAAACGAAGAGAUUGAUUUUUCUCUCAUCAUUUCCUCAUUUUCUUUCAUUUUUUUCCUCAGCUUUUUCUUUCCUUUGAAAAUUUGCGUUAAAUUAGGGAGGCUUGCUGGGUUAUUUUUCUUUCUUUUUUCCCUUGAUUGAACGCGAUUUUCGUUGUGGGAUUUUGAUUUAACUUGAAGAAUUAACGUUGUAUUUUGUGGCGUCUUAAGAGAAGGGGUUUCUUGGAUUUUGAACGACGCAGAGUCAUAGGCUAUUGAGUUUUCUUUAAGCAAAAACAGAAACACAUUAGAAGAAACAGAACAUCCCAAAUUAAAGCAAUCACUUUCUCGUACAAACUUUCCCAAACGAAAAUGAUGCCGGAAAUUUGUGUUUCCGGUGUCGUUGGUUUUUGACAACGCAACUAUUUAUCAGCCAAGACUUUCUUUUGAAACUGAGGAAAAGAGAGAUAGAUUUGGAGUUUUAUUUUUUAUUUUUAUUUUUUAUUUU
RNAcentral lists this unclassified non-coding RNA (793 nucleotides) under Hevea brasiliensis (rubber tree). Lineage: Eukaryota; Viridiplantae; Streptophyta; Magnoliopsida; Malpighiales; Euphorbiaceae. The record is from RNAcentral.